RNAcentral lists this transfer RNA (99 nucleotides) under Yarrowia lipolytica. Its description in RNAcentral is "tRNA-Leu". It matches the Rfam family "tRNA". From Rfam's summary of the family: Transfer RNA (tRNA) molecules are approximately 80 nucleotides in length. Their secondary structure includes four short double-helical elements and three loops (D, anti-codon, and T loops). Lineage: Eukaryota; Fungi; Ascomycota; Dipodascomycetes; Dipodascales. RNAcentral also lists the same sequence under 1 other name. The record is from RNAcentral.
GGCAACCUGGCCGAGCGGUCUAAGGCGCCAGGUUAAGGCAAUACCUUGACAAAUAUCCUGGUCUCUUCGGAGGCGAGAGUUCGAAUCUCUCGGUUGUCA